AUUGAACGCUGGCGGAACGCUUUACACAUGCAAGUCGAACGGUAGAGGGGGCAACCCCUUGAGAGUGGCGAACGGGUGAGUAAUACAUCGGAACAUGCCCAGUCGUGGGGGAUAACGUAGCGAAAGCUACGCUAAUACCGCAUACGAUCUAUGGAUGAAAGCGGGGGACCGAAAGGCCUCGCGCGAUUGGAGUGGCCGAUGGCAGAUUAGGUAGUUGGUGGGGUAAAGGCCUACCAAGCCUGCGAUCUGUAGCUGGUCUGAGAGGACGACCAGCCACACUGGGACUGAGGCACGGCCCAGACUCCUACGGGAGGCAGCAGUGGGGAAUUUUGGACAAUGGGCGCAAGCCUGAUCCAGCCAUUCCGCGUGCAGGAUGAAGGCCCUCGGGUUGUAAACUGCUUUUGUACGGAACGAAAAGGUGGCCUCUAAUACAGGUUGCUGAUGACGGUACCGUAAGAAUAAGCACCGGCUAACUACGUGCCAGCCGCCGCGGUAA
RNAcentral lists this ribosomal RNA (496 nucleotides) under uncultured bacterium. RNAcentral describes it as "partial 16S ribosomal RNA". It matches the Rfam family "Bacterial small subunit ribosomal RNA", at positions 30 to 523 of the family's 1533-position model. The record is from RNAcentral.